Molecule: long non-coding RNA, 313 nt
Filed under: Malus domestica (apple)
Lineage: Eukaryota; Viridiplantae; Streptophyta; Magnoliopsida; Rosales; Rosaceae
Description: long non-coding RNA (MDOM_LNC001670)
Source: RNAcentral
AAUAAUGUUUCAAAAUUUCUUCAAAACAUCGGUUUAAAACAGCAUGUGUAGAUGGGUAUUGUAAUUUAUUCACACCACUCUCGUAACUUUUUCAUAAUCGUAGCUGCAAUUCUUUCAUUCUAUCAGCUUUUCCCAGUGGAUCUGUCUCAGCGUACACCUUAUCAAUGCUAACCUCUUUGAUUCACUAUUUGCCCACAUAUUUCUCAGAUAGAGGAAUGUUAGCAUGAUUGACAAAACAAUUUUACGAUAGCAUAAACAGUGAUUUAUCUCAUCCUAACUACUCUACAAACACUAACAUUUUUAAUGCAACUAC